Astatotilapia calliptera (eastern happy) is the source of this 574-nucleotide long non-coding RNA. NCBI's taxonomy places the organism in Eukaryota, Metazoa, Chordata, Actinopteri, Cichliformes, Cichlidae. The record is from Ensembl.
CAAGAUUUCCGACUCCUGUUUUGUGAGGUCACUGGGAGCAAAUUCUUGGAGAGGUGGCUCACCAAUCUCAAAGCAGAGGUUGUAAAGGAAAGUCAUGGACUUGUCCCCACCUCAGAGCUCUUGGAGAUGUGCAAUGCUGAGUCAGGCUGGGACAGUGACUUGUCUACUAUCUUGCUGCUGCUACAUCUGCUACCACCAUCUGCACAAGGGCGAAAGAGACCAGGAAAGAUGUCUGCAUCUCAAGCUGUCAAUAACCUCAUCAAAUUCCCAAAGGCUGGAACCAGUGUACAGCAGCAUCUAGACAACAUCACCCGAAGCAGUCAGCCCUACCAUCUUACCCAGGGAUCCACAAGAAGCAGCAUUCACACCUUCAUUGUGAUUGAGAAGCAUGCACUUCCAUGUAAUGCGACAGGUUCUGUAGGAGCCCUUGAUGAACUCUUUAGGGCCCAUUAUGUCUUUGGUACAUCAUACAGUUCAUCCCUGACCAACUUUGUUACUUUUCUGCAACUACGACAUUGGGGAAAUGUCAUAUUGCUUUCUCUAGUGAGCAUCAUAGAACUGUGAAUUGUAAAGG